AAUCAUAUAUUGAAAAAAGAACUUUGGGAUUACAAUUGGUGAUAUUACAGGAGGAAUAACUUCCAAAUAUGAUGCAUAAUCUAAAUAUUCUCUUGACAACGAAACUUAAAUUGAAACAUCCAUCGAUAUCCCUACAACUUAACAAAAACUUAACCAAGGAACAUCAUCCAACAAGAACAACAUCCCUACAACUUAACUAAAACUAAAAACAGCCAUCAUCGUCAUCAUCGUGAACCGGAACAUCAUCAUCACCAUUGCAGUAUACUUGCCACGCACCCAUAGAAGCGUCCAUAUAUCUUUUGAAUCUACAAAGAAAAUAACAAAAUGAACUGUUAAUACACAAUUCAUUGACAUUAUGUAAAUAGUGAUGGGUUGCCCAGCAAAUAAGAAAUAUUACUUGUUACAACGGGUCAUGACUUCCGAAACAUUGGUUGUCCGGCUAGAUUACCUGAAAUUAUUCGCUUACAACUCAAUAUACUACUUCAGGUCAACAAACAAACAUAAACAGACUCGAAGAAAAAUAAACAGAUGUGACUAUGGCCUAAAAGCAAUCCACUAAUAACAUAGUACCUACUUAGUUGAUAGGUUAAAAGCACAAUAGACACUGCUCAUGUGGAACAGUGCAAGCAACAUAAUGGGAAAUUCGGCAAUUUAUGAACCAUGACAGCAAGAGUUCAUGUGGAUAAUUCAGCAAUUUAUGAAUCAAAGUGGUGAGAGCUCAGUGGUCAGUUUAGCAAUGGAGGAAUCAAAAGGGCAAGAGCAUCUAAGAAGAACAGUACUUGCAUUUCCAUCUUCACAAACAGUUAAGAUAUGGAGAUUGUGGAUAGUUACCAGAACCAUGACUACGAACACUGUCGUAUCUUGGACAAAUCUACUCGCAGCUCCAGCGAUCUAUGAUGUUCGCCUCCGUCUCGAUAGUGCCUGAAUGGAUGAGUGCGGCACCUCACAUUAAAUUACACACAACCAUAGGUACACCAUUGGCGAGAUAGGAGUACAUAAAUAGUUGAAUAAGAGCAGAAAAUGAGCCUGAAAAAUGGUUAGCUAAUGUAAGCAAUAAAGGAAUAAAUGAAUAAUCACCACAAUGGAAAUAGUCUUAGUUGAAGGUAAAACACAGUGACGUACUAUGAAUGUAGAGACUAGCACAUUGAAAACCACC
RNAcentral lists this long non-coding RNA (1156 nucleotides) under Triticum aestivum (bread wheat). RNAcentral's name for it is "long non-coding RNA (TAES_LNC004718)". Lineage: Eukaryota; Viridiplantae; Streptophyta; Magnoliopsida; Poales; Poaceae. The record is from RNAcentral.